CCUACGGGAGGCAGCAGUGGGGAAUAUUGCACAAUGGGGGAAACCCUGAUGCAGCGACGCCGCGUGAGUGAAGAAGUAUCUCGGUACGUAAAGCUCUAUCAGCAGGGAAGAAAAUGACGGUACCUGACUAAGAAGCCCCGGCGAACUACGUGCCAGCAGCCGCGGUAAUACGUAGGGGGCAAGCGUUAUCCGGAUUUACUGGGGGUAAAGGGAGCGUAGACGGCAGCACAAGUCUGUAGUGAAAUCGCGGGGCUUAACCCCGGAACUGCUUUGGAUACUGUGCGGCUGGAGUACAGGAGGGGUAAGCGGAAUUCCUGGUGUAGCGGUGAAAUGCGUAGAUAUUAGGAGGAACACCGGUGGCGAAGGCAGCUUACUGGACUGUAACUGACGUUGAGGCUCGAAAGCGUGGGGAGCAAACAGGAUUAGAUACCCGAGUAGUC
RNAcentral lists this ribosomal RNA (440 nucleotides) under uncultured bacterium. Its description in RNAcentral is "partial 16S ribosomal RNA". It matches the Rfam family "Bacterial small subunit ribosomal RNA", at positions 338 to 795 of the family's 1533-position model. The record is from RNAcentral.